GACGAACGCUGGCGGCGUGCUUAACACAUGCAAGUCGAACGGAAAGGCCCUGCUUUUGUGGGGUGCUCGAGUGGCGAACGGGUGAGUAACACGUGAGUAACCUGCCCUUGACUUUGGGAUAACUUCAGGAAACUGGGGCUAAUACCGGAUAGAAGCUCCUGCUGCAUGGUGGGGGUUGGAAAGUUUCGGCGGUUGGGGAUGGACUCGCGGCUUAUCAGCUUGUUGGUGGGGUAGUGGCUUACCAAGGCUUUGACGGGUAGCCGGCCUGAGAGGGUGACCGGCCACAUUGGGACUGAGAUACGGCCCAGACUCCUACGGGAGGCAGCAGUGGGGAAUAUUGCACAAUGGGCGGAAGCCUGAUGCAGCAACGCCGCGUGCGGGAUGACGGCCUUCGGGUUGUAAACCGCUUUCGCCUGUGACGAAGCGUGAGUGACGGUAAUGGGUAAAGAAGCACCGGCUAACUACGUGCCAGCAGCCGCGGUGAUACGUAGGGUGCGAGCGUUGUCCGGAUUUAUUGGGCGUAAAGGGCUCGUAGGUGGUUGAUCGCGUCGGAAGUGUAAUCUUGGGGCUUAACCCUGAGCGUGCUUUCGAUACGGGUUGACUUGAGGAAGGUAGGGGAGAAUGGAAUUCCUGGUGGAGCGGUGGAAUGCGCAGAUAUCAAGAGGAACACCAGUGGCGAAGGCGGUUCUCUGGGCCUUUCCUGACGCUGAGGAGCGAAAGCGUGGGGAGCGAACAGGCUUAGAUACCCUGGUAGUCCACGCUGUAAACGGUGGGUACUAGGUGUGGGGUCCAUUCCACGGGUUCCGUGCCGUAGCUAACGCUUUAAGUACCCCGCCUGGGGAGUACGGCCGCAAGGCUAAAACUCAAAGGAAUUGACGGGGCCCCGCACAAGCGGCGGAGCAUGCGGAUUAAUUCGAUGCAACGCGUAGAACCUUACCUGGGUUUGACAUGGAUCGGGAGCGCUCAGAGAUGGGUGUGCCUCUUUUGGGGUCGGUUCACAGGUGGUGCAUGGCUGUCGUCAGCUCGUGUCGUGAGAUGUUGGGUUAAGUCCCGCAACGAGCGCAACCCUUGUUCACUGUUGCCAGCACGUUAUGGUGGGGACUCAGUGGAGACCGCCGGGGUCAACUCGGAGGAAGGUGGGGAUGACGUCAAGUCAUCAUGCCCCUCAUGUCCAGGGCUUCACGCAUGCUACAAUGGCUGGUACAGAGAGUGGCGAGCCUGUGAGGGUGAGCGAAUCUCGGAAAGCCGGUCUCAGUUCGGAUUGGGGUCUGCAACUCGACCUCAUGAAGUCGGAGUCGCUAGUAAUCGCAGAUCAGCAACGCUGCGGUGAAUACGUUCCCGGGGCU
This 1346-nucleotide ribosomal RNA is filed under the name uncultured bacterium. RNAcentral describes it as "bacterial SSU rRNA". It matches the Rfam family "Bacterial small subunit ribosomal RNA", at positions 28 to 1381 of the family's 1533-position model. The record is from RNAcentral.